This 370-nucleotide ribosomal RNA is filed under the name Listeria monocytogenes. RNAcentral describes it as "bacterial SSU rRNA". It matches the Rfam family "Bacterial small subunit ribosomal RNA", at positions 1165 to 1533 of the family's 1533-position model. Lineage: Bacteria; Bacillati; Bacillota; Bacilli; Caryophanales; Listeriaceae. The record is from RNAcentral.
GGAGGAAGGUGGGGAUGACGUCAAAUCAUCAUGCCCCUUAUGACCUGGGCUACACACGUGCUACAAUGGAUAGUACAAAGGGUCGCGAAGCCGCGAGGUGGAGCUAAUCCCAUAAAACUAUUCUCAGUUCGGAUUGUAGGCUGCAACUCGCCUACAUGAAGCCGGAAUCGCUAGUAAUCGUGGAUCAGCAUGCCACGGUGAAUACGUUCCCGGGCCUUGUACACACCGCCCGUCACACCACGAGAGUUUGUAACACCCGAAGUCGGUAGGGUAACCUUUAUGGAGCCAGCCGCCGAAGGUGGGACAGAUAAUUGGGGUGAAGUCGUAACAAGGUAGCCGUAUCGGAAGGUGCGGCUGGAUCACCUCCUUU